GACUACCUGAAUUUCUAAUUCAGUGACGGAAGGCUGCUGGGUGUAGUCAAGUACUUGACUUGUUGGUGCGUGUGUCAAGAUGAGAUUGACCACUCCAGUUCAGGAGCUGUGUACAGUCAUGUUUCAAUUUAGCAAAACCUUGGCCAGAGUAGUCCUAGUGAGGAGUCACAGGACUGAUUGAGUUGAGCACGACUCGGAUGAUCUAAUCAGGGUUGACAGUUUAAC
This 225-nucleotide long non-coding RNA is filed under the name Elaeis guineensis (African oil palm). Its description in RNAcentral is "long non-coding RNA (EGUI_LNC053262)". Lineage: Eukaryota; Viridiplantae; Streptophyta; Magnoliopsida; Arecales; Arecaceae. The record is from RNAcentral.